UGCAGCAACGCCGCGUGAGGGACGAAGGCCUUCGGGUUGUAAACCUCUUUUAGUAGGGAAGAAGCGACUGGGUUUUCCUGGGAGUGACGGUACCUGCAGAAAAAGCACCGGCUAACUACGUGCCAGCAGCCGCGGUAAUACGUAGGGUGCAAGCGUUGUCCGGAAUUAUUGGGCGUAAAGAGCUCGUAGGCGGUUUGUCGCGUCUGCUGUGAAAACCCGAGGCUCAACCUCGGGCCUGCAGUGGGUACGGGCAGACUAGAGUGCGGUAGGGGAGAUUGGAAUUCCUGGUGUAGCGGUGGAAUGCGCAGAUAUCAGGAGGAACACCAAUGGCGAAGGCAGAUCUCUGGGCCGUAACUGACGCUGAGGAGCGAAAGCAUGGGGAGCGAACAGGAUUAGAUACCCUGGUAGUCCAUGCCGUAAACGUUGGGAACUAGAUGUGGGGACCAUUCCACGGUCUCCGUGUCGCAGCUAACGCAUUAAGUUCCCCGCCUGGGGAGUACGGCCGCAAGGCUAAAACUCAAAGGAAUUGACGGGGGCCCGCACAAGCGGCGGAGCAUGCGGAUUAAUUCGAUGCAACGCGAAGAACCUUACCAAGGCUUGACAUAUACCGGAAACGGCUGGAAACAGUCGCCCCGCAAGGUCGGUAUACAGGUGGUGCAUGGUUGUCGUCAGCUCGUGUCGUGAGAUGUUGGGUUAAGUCCCGCAACGAGCGCAACCCUCGUCCUAUGUUGCCAGCACGUAAUGGUGGGAACUCAUGGGAUACUGCCGGGGCCAACUCGGAGGAAGGUGGGGAUGACGUCAAAUCAUCAUGCCCCUUAUGUCUUGGGCUUCACGCAUGCUACAAUGGCCGGUACAAAGGGCUGCGAUACCGCAAGGUGGAGCGAAUCCCAAAA
RNAcentral lists this ribosomal RNA (893 nucleotides) under uncultured Cryobacterium sp. RNAcentral's name for it is "bacterial SSU rRNA". It matches the Rfam family "Bacterial small subunit ribosomal RNA", at positions 387 to 1279 of the family's 1533-position model. Lineage: Bacteria; Bacillati; Actinomycetota; Actinomycetes; Micrococcales; Microbacteriaceae. The record is from RNAcentral.